AAGUCGUAACAAGGUAUCCGUAGGUGAACCUGCGGAUGGAUCAUUAUCAAAAUCAAUAUAACGUUAUCCCAAAAUAACGUUUAUAUAAACCAAUCUGUGAACUGUUCUCUGCCUUUGAGAAGUGGGAGUAAUGGAUUGAAAGAUGCUACGAGUUUUUAUAGUGAACUCAAUUCUUUCAAUUCGUUCUAUGGAUUUAAUCGUUCAUAGAAGCUCUUAUUUUUCAAAGUGUAUAUCACUAUUAAACAUUAACCAAUUUAACCAAAUAUACUAAUAUUUUAUUCUAUGUGUGAACUGAAUUGUUUUCUUACUCUUACUUAAAACUGAGAGAAGAAAUCUAUUCUACGAAACAUAUUGAACAACUCUUAGCAACGGAUAUCUUGGUUCUCG
Molecule: unclassified non-coding RNA, 387 nt
Filed under: fungal sp.
Lineage: Eukaryota; Fungi
Description: partial internal transcribed spacer region
Rfam family: Eukaryotic small subunit ribosomal RNA (bases 1-46)
Source: RNAcentral